This 28-nucleotide ribosomal RNA is filed under the name Erica andevalensis. RNAcentral's name for it is "partial 28S ribosomal RNA". The record is from RNAcentral. Lineage: Eukaryota; Viridiplantae; Streptophyta; Magnoliopsida; Ericales; Ericaceae.
AUCUGCGACCCCAGGUCAGGCGGGAUUA